RNAcentral lists this ribosomal RNA (253 nucleotides) under uncultured bacterium. Its description in RNAcentral is "partial 16S ribosomal RNA". It matches the Rfam family "Bacterial small subunit ribosomal RNA", at positions 524 to 776 of the family's 1533-position model. The record is from RNAcentral.
UACGUAGGAUCCAAGCGUUGUCCGGAUUUACUGGGUGUAAAGGGUGCGCAGGCGGACUGGUGAGUCUGGGGUGAAAUCUCGCUGCUUAACAGCGAAACUGCCUUAGAUACUAUCAGUCUUGAAUCAGCGAGAGGUUCGUGGAAUUCCGAGUGUAGCAGUGAAAUGUGUAGAUAUUCGGAAGAACACCAGUGGCGAAGGCAGCGAACUGGCGCUCGAUUGACGCUCAGGCACGAAAGCAUGGGGAUCAAGCAGG